AUUGAACGCUGGCGGCAGGCUUAACACAUGCAAGUCGAGCGGGGUGAUGGUGCUUGCACUAUCACUUAGCGGCGGACGGGUGAGUAAUGCUUAGGAAUCUGCCUAUUAGUGGGGGACAACAUCUCGAAAGGGAUGCUAAUACCGCAUACGUCCUACGGGAGAAAGCAGGGGAUCACUUGUGACCUUGCGCUAAUAGAUGAGCCUAAGUCGGAUUAGCGAGUUGGUGGGGUAAAGGCCUACCAAGGCGACGAGCUGUAGCGGGUCUGAGAGGAUGAUCCGCCACACUGGGACUGAGACACGGCCCAGACUCCUACGGGAGGCGGCAGUGGGGAAUAUUGGACAAUGGGGAGAACCCUGAUCCAGCCAUGCCGCGUGUGUGAAGAAGGCCUUAUGGUUGUAAAGCACUUUAAGCGAGGAGGAGGCUACUCUAGUUAAUACCUAGGGAUAGUGGACGUUACUCGCAGAAUAAGCACCGGCUAACUCUGUGCCAGCAGCCGCAGUAA
This 503-nucleotide ribosomal RNA is filed under the name uncultured bacterium. RNAcentral's name for it is "partial 16S ribosomal RNA". It matches the Rfam family "Bacterial small subunit ribosomal RNA", at positions 30 to 523 of the family's 1533-position model. The record is from RNAcentral.